AUGAUUUUCAUCCAACCAUUAUUGGCGGCUGCGGCUCAACGUCGGAUCUUCACCUGCAUUUCAACGUCGGAUCUCCACCACCAUCUUUUUUGCAAUUUCUUUAUGUUUGGAAUAAGUUGCAGAGACUCUUUGGGUUCUCUGUGUUGUUUUCACCUCUCCUUUUGUGAGAGUUUUUCAUCUCUCCUUUGUGAGAGCUUUUCAUCUCUCCUUGGUGAGAGUUUUAUUUGUAUUGUUAUGGCUUGGUUUUUUCAAGCUUUAUCUUUUUUUAUUAUUCUAAGUUUGCAAUCUUAGUUGAGAUGCCUAUGCCAGAGUUUCUUCGAUCUUGCCUGAUCGUUGGUGGAGACAUACCUGA
RNAcentral lists this long non-coding RNA (352 nucleotides) under Prunus dulcis (almond). RNAcentral describes it as "sRNA ncRNA". The record is from RNAcentral. Lineage: Eukaryota; Viridiplantae; Streptophyta; Magnoliopsida; Rosales; Rosaceae.